CCUUUGGAGUGUUACAACAAACGAAAGUAGCUAAUGCGAAAUCGGACACUGAGAAGAAGGAA
RNAcentral lists this non-coding RNA (62 nucleotides) under unclassified sequences. Its description in RNAcentral is "RAGATH-18 RNA". It matches the Rfam family "RAGATH-18 RNA". From Rfam's summary of the family: Actinobacteria, Firmicutes, Fusobacteria, Thermotogae (1 example). Nearby to self-cleaving ribozyme genes The record is from Rfam by way of RNAcentral.